UAGAAAUACUAAUAAUAGUAGGGGCGGAUGUAGCCAAGUGGAUCAAGGCAGUGGAUUUGUGAAUCCACCAUGC
RNAcentral lists this transfer RNA (73 nucleotides) under Myrcia spectabilis. RNAcentral describes it as "partial tRNA-His". The record is from RNAcentral. Lineage: Eukaryota; Viridiplantae; Streptophyta; Magnoliopsida; Myrtales; Myrtaceae.